RNAcentral lists this ribosomal RNA (699 nucleotides) under Klebsiella sp. Its description in RNAcentral is "bacterial SSU rRNA". It matches the Rfam family "Bacterial small subunit ribosomal RNA", at positions 48 to 736 of the family's 1533-position model. Lineage: Bacteria; Pseudomonadati; Pseudomonadota; Gammaproteobacteria; Enterobacterales; Enterobacteriaceae. The record is from RNAcentral.
CUAACACAUGCAAGUCGAACGGUAACAGGAAGCAGCUUGCUGCUUUGCUGACGAGUGGCGGACGGGUGAGUAAUGUCUGGGAAACUGCCUGAUGGAGGGGGAUAACUACUGGAAACGGUAGCUAAUACCGCAUAACGUCUUCGGACCAAAGAGGGGGACCUUCGGGCCUCAUGCCAUCAGAUGUGCCCAGAUGGGAUUAGCUAGUAGGUGGGGUAAUGGCUCACCUAGGCGACGAUCCCUAGCUGGUCUGAGAGGAUGACCAGCCACACUGGAACUGAGACACGGUCCAGACUCCUACGGGAGGCAGCAGUGGGGAAUAUUGCACAAUGGGCGCAAGCCUGAUGCAGCCAUGCCGCGUGUAUGAAGAAGGCCUUCGGGUUGUAAAGUACUUUCAGCGAGGAGGAAGGCGUUAAGGUUAAUAACCUUAGCGAUUGACGUUACUCGCAGAAGAAGCACCGGCUAACUCCGUGCCAGCAGCCGCGGUAAUACGGAGGGUGCAAGCGUUAAUCGGAAUUACUGGGCGUAAAGCGCACGCAGGCGGUCUGUCAAGUCGGAUGUGAAAUCCCCGGGCUCAACCUGGGAACUGCAUUCGAAACUGACAGGCUAGAGUCUUGUAGAGGGGGGUAGAAUUCCAGGUGUAGCGGUGAAAUGCGUAGAGAUCUGGAGGAAUACCGGUGGCGAAGGCGGCCCCCUGGACAA